CAUCUACGUACGUCUGACUAAAACUGUCUAUUGUCAGAAUAAGUCUAUACGUUGACGUUAUCUGCAUAUGGGCUUUAGGUGUUUCACGAUCAAACUUCCUGCAAGACUGCAACUCGCAACUAGUCAUUGCGGUGCAGCAGAACAUAAGGGGGCCGUGGCACUGUUUGAGCCGGGAGACGUGGACGAUUUCCAGGCCUCGACGACGUUGGUUUGGAGACGCUUCCAUGGACUCAAUGAAGUAGGAUCGCGUUGCCGGAUGACGUCAGGGCAGAUCGUGGUUGUGGAUACGGCAGCAGAAGCCUGGGACGGUCCCGGAUCAACCACUGCAUCAGCUGGUGGUAGAGUACAGCUACGGAGGUCCAAGAUGUUGAAGAAAAAGCCAGCACCACCACCAAAUACAAUGGGAGUAGUUGCCUCGCAGCACUUGAUGUAGCUGUGCAGUAGUAAGCCUGAACAUGUGAGUUGGAGCUAUGGCGAUUUGGGCGAUCAAGCUCUCCACGCGUUUUUCUAUACUUUCACCAACACCGUGCCCGCUGCCUUCAGUACAGAGUGUAUAUCCUAUAUUCCAAUAAUACAGUUGUUAUUGUG
Long non-coding RNA from Dermacentor albipictus, 588 nucleotides. RefSeq lists it as uncharacterized. Lineage: Eukaryota; Metazoa; Arthropoda; Arachnida; Ixodida; Ixodidae. The record is from RefSeq and is a predicted model, not a curated record.